This 391-nucleotide ribosomal RNA is filed under the name uncultured bacterium. RNAcentral describes it as "bacterial SSU rRNA". It matches the Rfam family "Bacterial small subunit ribosomal RNA", at positions 32 to 415 of the family's 1533-position model. The record is from RNAcentral.
AAUCAACGCUGGCGGCGUGCCUCAGACAUGCAAGUCGAACGAUUAAAGCUCUCUUCGGAGAGUGUAUAGAGUGGCGCACGGGUGAGUAACACGUAAGUAAUCUACCUUUGAGUGGGGAAUAACAGUCGGAAACGACUGCUAAUACCGCAUAAUGCAGCGGCACCGCAAGGUGACAGUUGUUAAGGAGCAAUUCGCUUAAAGAGGAGCUUGCGGCAGAUUAGCUUGUUGGUAAGGUAACGGCUUACCAAGGCUACGAUCUGUAUCCGGUCUUAGAGGACGGUCGGACACACUGACACUGAAUAACGGGUCAGACUCCUACGGGAGGCAGCAGUCGGGAAUUUGGGCAAUGGGCGAAAGCCUGACCCAGCAACGCCGCGUGAAGGAUGAAGUA